CUUUCAUUGGUUCUUUCCAUGUGCCCAUCAAACAGCGCCUGAUUCCUUGUGUUAGAAACUGAGACCUACGAGUCUCAUUCCAAUGAAACGGUCCCAGUAAAACCGCUUUACCCUGUAGACUGCUGUGGUACAGGCCGACACAUUUGGCUAUCGUCACUGCGUAGCCUAGCUAGCUAUAUCAGUUGUGACUGCCUGAGCUGAUUGUUGCCUUCUGUCAUGUUUCCGUGUCGGUUUCUCUUUCAAAUGUAUCCUAUCCGCUCAUAAUAGUCAGGCUGUAUGAUAUUUUAUAAAUCUGAAAUGUAGUGUUUCGGGUGGAUUUAAACGGUGAUUUGGGUGCGGCACUGUGUUUGGAGAAAAAGGGGUUUGCGCUGCGACGGUGGACUUUUUUGCCUUUUGUAUUUCCUCGCCUGUUGUGGACAUUUUGGAUUGCUAUUUUAUUUUUUGGUUUUACAUUCAUUUUAAAUGUUUCCAGGAUAUUUGGGGUGGCUUUUAUGGAACGAUAGUACGAGUUUGUCAGCAUCUCCUACUUAGGUUUUGUUUUCUAUCGACAAGAAAACUUUAAACGACAAAUAAGUUUGGAGAGGAUUGAUCCAGGCGAAAGAAUGCAUUAGCAAGCUAAUCAGUUAGCUUAUUUCUCUGCUGAACCUGAAGCUAGCUAGCUGAUGUAGCUAUCCACAUAUCAAAGAAUUGAGGCGAGGUAAUCCGUCUGCUCAAAUGACUCCUUGACAGAAGAAUUUCAACCUCUUAUGUGGAGGAUUUUAAUUAAAUCCAGGAAUUCAACCCUUAAAUGUGUACGAACCACUGGAAUACACACCUAACGUUACAGCAAAGACGAGCACCUGUGCACGUGUGAUCCCUCCACUCCAGCACAGGACCCUGCAGAGCUGCUCGUAAAUGAGAAGGUAAUGCUGAUGCGUUGUCAUCGCCGUUAACCUUUUGUGCUAACACACACACACGCAUAACAGCAAAAAUCACAUUAGCAAACAUUUUCACACACGUAUACAGAAAUCAACAGGGAGCAUGGUGUUGGGAACAUAAUGAGUGUUUUGGAGAAAAGCUUGUAUAAAGCCUUAAUCAGUUUUAUUGAGAGGGAUUUCUGUGCUGUCUCUUUAAAACUGGUGUGUGAAGUCUGUAUGAAUGAUAUAACUGUACAUGACCUGAAUGGCUCACAUGCUCACGUAACAUAUAAAACUUCAGUCACUUGGGGUAGAUCCUGUACUGUGUCCAAAAAUGACUGGGCCACCUAUAUUUUAAUCCUACAGCAAAACUAUGAAUAACACCAGUGACAAGUUGAUUCAAAUCAUCUAAGGACUGUCAUGAGGAAUUCAUUUUGAGAUAGAUAUAUA
Clupea harengus (Atlantic herring) is the source of this 1346-nucleotide long non-coding RNA. RefSeq lists it as uncharacterized. The transcript is spliced from 2 exons. Lineage: Eukaryota; Metazoa; Chordata; Actinopteri; Clupeiformes; Clupeidae. The record is from RefSeq and is a predicted model, not a curated record.